This 254-nucleotide ribosomal RNA is filed under the name uncultured bacterium. RNAcentral's name for it is "partial 16S ribosomal RNA". It matches the Rfam family "Bacterial small subunit ribosomal RNA", at positions 524 to 776 of the family's 1533-position model. The record is from RNAcentral.
UACGGGGGGAGCAAGCGUUGUUCGGAUUUACUGGGCGUAAAGGGCGCGUAGGCGGUCAGCACAAGUCAGUUGUGAAAUCUCCGGGCUUAACUCGGAAAGGUCAACUGAUACUGUGCGACUAGAGUGCAGAAGGGGCAACUGGAAUUCUCGGUGUAGCGGUGAAAUGCGUAGAUAUUGGGAAGAACACCUGAGGCGAAGGCGGGUUGCUGGGCUGAUACUGACGCUGAGGCGCGAAAGCCAGGGGAGCAAACGGG